This 86-nucleotide transfer RNA is filed under the name Opitutaceae bacterium. RNAcentral describes it as "tRNA-Leu". It matches the Rfam family "tRNA". From Rfam's summary of the family: Transfer RNA (tRNA) molecules are approximately 80 nucleotides in length. Lineage: Bacteria; Pseudomonadati; Verrucomicrobiota; Opitutia; Opitutales; Opitutaceae. RNAcentral also lists the same sequence under 1 other name. The record is from RNAcentral.
GCCCGGGUGGCGGAAUGGUAGACGCUUUCGACUUAAAAUUGAAUUUCCGAAAGGAAGUGCGGGUUCGAGUCCCGCCCCGGGCACCA